Molecule: ribosomal RNA, 513 nt
Filed under: uncultured bacterium
Lineage: Bacteria
Description: bacterial SSU rRNA
Rfam family: Bacterial small subunit ribosomal RNA
Source: RNAcentral
CGCUGGCGGCGUGCCUAAUACAUGCAAGUCGAACGGUCUUUCUAUGGAAGCUUGCUUCCACUGAGAAGAUAGUGGCGAACGGGUGAGUAACACGUGGGUAACCUGCCCAUAAGAGGGGGGAUAACAUCCGGAAACGGGUGCUAAUACCGCAUAGUUUUCUUGAUCGCAUGAUCGGGAAAGGAAAGACGGCCUUUGUGCUGUCGCUUAUGGAUGGACCCGCGGCGUAUUAGUUAGUUGGUGAGGUAACGGCUCACCAAGACGAUGAUACGUAGCCGACCUGAGAGGGUGAUCGGCCACAUUGGGACUGAGACACGGCCCAAACUCCUACGGGAGGCAGCAGUAGGGAAUCUUCCGCAAUGGACGAAAGUCUGACGGAGCAACGCCGCGUGAGUGAAGAAAGGGUUUUCGGAUCGUAAAACUCUGUUGUCAGAGAAGAACAAGUUGGAGAGUAACUGCUCCAGCCUUGACGGUAUCUGACCAGAAAGCCACGGCUAACUACGUGCCAGCCGCAGC